UACGAAGGGGGCUAGCGUUGUUCGGAAUUACUGGGCGUAAAGCGCGCGCGGGCGGCUAUCCAAGUCAGUGGUGAAAGCCCGGAGCUCAACUCCGGAACUGCCAUUGAAACUGUUUAGCUUGAGGAUGAGAGAGGUGAGUGGAAUUCCCAGUGUAGAGGUGAAAUUCGUAGAUAUUGGGAAGAACACCGGUGGCGAAGGCGGCUCACUGGCUCAUUACUGACGCUCAGGCGCGAUAGCGUGGGGAUCAAACAGG
Molecule: ribosomal RNA, 253 nt
Filed under: uncultured bacterium
Lineage: Bacteria
Description: partial 16S ribosomal RNA
Rfam family: Bacterial small subunit ribosomal RNA
Source: RNAcentral